Molecule: transfer RNA, 175 nt
Filed under: Marojejya darianii
Lineage: Eukaryota; Viridiplantae; Streptophyta; Magnoliopsida; Arecales; Arecaceae
Description: partial transfer RNA-Phe
Source: RNAcentral
UCACAUUCCAUAUCAUUAUCCUUACAUUUAUUAGAUAAAAUUUUUUAAUACUUUACUUUAUUUAAUACUUUACUUUAUUUAGAUUUAGUCCCUUUAAUUGACAUAGAUACAAGUACUCUACUAGGAUAAUGCACGGGAAAUGGUCGGGAUAGCUCAGUUGGUAGAGCAGAGGAGU